Molecule: ribosomal RNA, 403 nt
Filed under: uncultured Chloroflexota bacterium
Lineage: Bacteria; Bacillati; Chloroflexota
Description: uncultured Chloroflexi bacterium partial 16S ribosomal RNA
Rfam family: Bacterial small subunit ribosomal RNA
Source: RNAcentral
UGAGGAAUAUUGCACAAUGGGCGCAAGCCUGAUGCAGCAACGCCGCGUGGAGGACGACGGCCUUCGGGUUGUAAACUCCUUUUCUGGGGGACGAGCGAGGACGGUACCUCAGGAAUAAGUCUCGGCUAACUACGUGCCAGCAGCCGCGGUAAAACGUAGGAGGCGAGCGUUAUCCGGAUUUACUGGGCGUAAAGCGCACGCAGGUGGCUUGACAAGUCGGACAUGAAAGCUCCUGGCUUAACUGGGAGAGGUGGUUCGAAACUGUUGAGCUUGAGGUUGGGAGAGGGACGUGGAAUUCCCGGUGUAGUGGUGGAAUGCGUAGAUAUCGGGAGGAACACCAGUGGCGCAAGCGGCGUCCUGGCCCACACCUGACGCUGAGGUGCGAAAGCGUGGGGAGCAAACA